UGAGAAAUAGUUAUACGUAAUAUCUUUUGCAGAUGACUUUUUGAAAAGAAAUCUAUGGACAAAGAAGCUGUUUUUCAACCUUUGCUGACAACUAAAGAGCAAAAAAGAAGAUAGCUGGGCAAGCAGCAGUGACUGACUAUCAGGGAC
RNAcentral lists this long non-coding RNA (147 nucleotides) under Chrysolophus pictus (golden pheasant). RNAcentral's name for it is "lncRNA (ENSCPIG00010009499.1)". The record is from RNAcentral. Lineage: Eukaryota; Metazoa; Chordata; Aves; Galliformes; Phasianidae.